UUUUAAAGAGAGUUUGAUCCUGGCUCAGGACGAACGCUGGCGGCGUGCCUAAUACAUGCAAGUCGAACGAACGGAGG
Molecule: ribosomal RNA, 77 nt
Filed under: Listeria monocytogenes
Lineage: Bacteria; Bacillati; Bacillota; Bacilli; Caryophanales; Listeriaceae
Description: partial 16S ribosomal RNA
Rfam family: Bacterial small subunit ribosomal RNA
Source: RNAcentral